CACCCUUCACUUAUCUACCUGGGUUCCCUUUCCUUACAAAAGAGUCUCUAAAAAUAGUGCUUUCCAUCAUAGGACUGUCACAAGGCUAAGUGAAGUGACACAAGGAAAGGCCCUCAGACAAACACUGCCAAGUGGAAAUACAAUGAAGCCACAUGUGAUUUUCAAUUCCCUAGUCCUCACGUCAAAAAAAAAAAAAAGGGAAAAGCAGCAGGUAACUUUAGACAGCACAGAGGCACACGCCUGUAAUCCCAACAAUUCAGGAGGCUGAAGGAGGAUUGAACAUUGGAGACCAACCUCAACCAAUUAGCAAGACCCUGUCUCAAAAAUAAAAUAAAAGGGGCUGGGGUUGUGGCUCAGUGAUACAGCACUUGCCUAGCAUGUGUGAGGCACUGGGUUUGAUCAUCAGCACUGCAUAAAAAAAUAAAUAAAAUAAAGGUAUUAUGUCCA
RNAcentral lists this long non-coding RNA (447 nucleotides) under Marmota monax (woodchuck). Lineage: Eukaryota; Metazoa; Chordata; Mammalia; Rodentia; Sciuridae. The record is from RNAcentral.